This 104-nucleotide small nuclear RNA is filed under the name Canis lupus familiaris (dog). The record is from RNAcentral. RNAcentral also lists the same sequence under 1 other name. Lineage: Eukaryota; Metazoa; Chordata; Mammalia; Carnivora; Canidae.
GUGCUUGCUUUGGCAGCACGUAUACUAAAGUUGGAAUGAUACGGAGAUUAGCAUGGCCCCUAUGCAACGGUGACAUGCAAAUUCAUGAAGCGCUCCGUAUUUUU